RNAcentral lists this ribosomal RNA (366 nucleotides) under uncultured Geobacteraceae bacterium. Its description in RNAcentral is "bacterial SSU rRNA". It matches the Rfam family "Bacterial small subunit ribosomal RNA", at positions 466 to 831 of the family's 1533-position model. Lineage: Bacteria; Pseudomonadati; Thermodesulfobacteriota; Desulfuromonadia; Geobacterales; Geobacteraceae. The record is from RNAcentral.
GGUUUGACGGUACCUAUAAAGGAAGCACCGGCUAACUCCGUGCCAGCAGCCGCGGUAAUACGGGGGGUGCAAGCGUUGUUCGGAAUUAUUGGGCGUAAAGCGCGUGUAGGCGGUCUGAUUAGUCUGAUGUGAAAGCCCUGGGCUCAACCCAGGAAGUGCAUUGGAUACUGUCAGACUUGAAUACGGGAGAGGGUAGUGGAAUUCCUAGUGUAGGAGUGAAAUCCGUAGAUAUUAGGAGGAACACCGGUGGCGAAGGCGGCUACCUGGACCGAGAUUGACGCUGAGACGCGAAAGCGUGGGUAGCAAACAGGAUUAGAUACCCUGGUAGUCCACGCCGUAAACGAUGAGAACUAGGUGUCGCGGGUA